RNAcentral lists this ribosomal RNA (483 nucleotides) under uncultured bacterium. Its description in RNAcentral is "partial 16S ribosomal RNA". It matches the Rfam family "Bacterial small subunit ribosomal RNA", at positions 28 to 507 of the family's 1533-position model. The record is from RNAcentral.
GACGAACGCUGGCGGCGUGCUUAACACAUGCAAGUCGAACGCUGAAGCUCAGCUUUUGUUGGGUGGAUGAGUGGCGAACGGGUGAGUAACACGUGAGUAACCUGCCCCCUUCUUUGGGAUAACGCCCGGAAACGGGUGCUAAUACUGGAUAUUCACUGGUCUUCGCAUGGGGGCUGGUGGAAAGGGUUUUUCUGGUGGGGGAUGGGCUCGCGGCCUAUCAGCUUGUUGGUGGGGUGAUGGCCUACCAAGGCUUUGACGGGUAGCCGGCCUGAGAGGGUGACCGAUCACGUUAGGACUGAGAUACGGCCCAGACUCCUACGGGAGGCAGCAGUGGGGAAUAUUGCACAAUGGGCGCAAGCCUGAUGCAGCGACGCCGCGUGAGGGAUGGCGGCCUUCGGGUUGUGAACCUCUUUCGCUCAUGGUCAAGCCGCAACAAUGGUUGUGGUGAGGGUAGUGGGUAAAGAAGCGCCGGCUAACUACGUG